This 55-nucleotide transfer RNA is filed under the name Calantica studeri. RNAcentral describes it as "tRNA-Ser". The record is from RNAcentral. Lineage: Eukaryota; Metazoa; Arthropoda; Thecostraca; Calanticomorpha; Calanticidae.
GAAAAUGACCUUUAGAGCUUCUAACUCUAUAUAUUGCAAAUUUGUAACAUUUUCU